RNAcentral lists this ribosomal RNA (253 nucleotides) under uncultured bacterium. RNAcentral's name for it is "partial 16S ribosomal RNA". It matches the Rfam family "Bacterial small subunit ribosomal RNA", at positions 524 to 776 of the family's 1533-position model. The record is from RNAcentral.
UACGUAGGGUGCAAGCGUUGUCCGGAUUUAUUGGGCGUAAAGAGCUCGUAGGCGGUCUGUCGCGUCGAAUGUGAAAGCCCAAGGCUCAACCUUGGGUCUGCAUUCGAUACGGGCAGAAUAGAGUAUGGCAGGGGAGACUGGAAUUCCUGGUGUAGCGGUGAAAUGCGCAGAUAUCUGGAGGAACACCGGUGGCGAAGGCGGGUCUCUGGGCCAAAACUGACGCUGAGGAGCGAAAGCGUGGGGAGCGAACAGG